Molecule: ribosomal RNA, 289 nt
Filed under: uncultured bacterium
Lineage: Bacteria
Description: partial 16S ribosomal RNA
Rfam family: Bacterial small subunit ribosomal RNA
Source: RNAcentral
CGAGCGGCGAACGGGUGAGUAAUACAUCGGAACGUACCCAGUCGUGGGGGAUAGCCCGGCGAAAGCCGGAUUAAUACCGCAUACGCCCUGAGGGGGAAAGCGGGGGACCGGAAACGGCCUCGCGCGAUUGGAGCGGCCGAUGGCGGAUUAGCUAGUUGGUGGGGUAAAGGCCUACCAAGGCGACGAUCCGUAGCUGGUCUGAGAGGAUGAUCAGCCACACUGGAACUGAGACACGGUCCAGACUCCUACGGGAGGCAGCAGUGGGGAAUUUUGGACAAUGGGCGCAAGC